Molecule: long non-coding RNA, 767 nt
Filed under: Nicotiana benthamiana
Lineage: Eukaryota; Viridiplantae; Streptophyta; Magnoliopsida; Solanales; Solanaceae
Description: long non-coding RNA (NBEN_LNC004365)
Source: RNAcentral
AAAAAAAUUACUGAAAAACAAGGACCUAAUUCCUAAAAGGGUUCUAGAAGACAGCAGCUCUUUUCUGCUUGAAAGAAUGUCACGUUAAUGCACAUUUUGAGAGGAUUCAUCUUCACCAUCUAAUUCCUCCAAGAAGCAUCCCUAUAAAGAAGAGAAGCUUCAGCUCCUCAACCCCUCACGCUAUCAACAACAGUCGUUCCCUCUUUACCCCUCAAUCUCCGAUCUUGGAGAGACCAAACAGUCCUCCCUUCGUUCUAAAAGAAAUGGCCGCAACACACAGAGAGGACAAGGGCCAAUCUUUCAUCUCCCAAAAUUGAAGACUUAAAAAAAAUCCAUCACUGUCAAACGUAGUCGAAGUUUGAUUUCUGAAAAUCCGUUCGAGUCAAAGAGGUUUUCCGGUUCGAUUCCCGGCACCGGCAUUUGCUUGUAUUUUCAAAUAGAGAAUCGUCAAACUGAAAUCAAUAGAGGUGCCGAUUCGAAUUCCCAUCCGCGGUUCGUCGCAUUUUUGCGUUUUAAGGCGGCCGUCAUCUAAAUUUCAGAUUCAUUGAGGUUUAUUCUCUUCCUAUAUCUCAUUAGUUUGCUCAAUAUAAUUUUGGAAAUUUAUUUAGUUUGUGAUGAUUUUCUUUGCCUAAUAUGAAAUUGCUCCAAUCAAUAUUAUUUGGAAUUUAAAUGGUUAGUUGUUGGAUUAGUUAAAUUAAUUAAAUUGAAAGAUGUUAAUAAUGUGAAUUAAAAGUACUUUAAUGGGUCGUGGGGGCUGAGGAUUCGAG